Molecule: ribosomal RNA, 429 nt
Filed under: Actinomycetes bacterium
Lineage: Bacteria; Bacillati; Actinomycetota; Actinomycetes
Description: Actinobacteria bacterium partial 16S ribosomal RNA
Rfam family: Bacterial small subunit ribosomal RNA
Source: RNAcentral
UAGGGAAUCUUCCGCAAUGGGCGAAAGCCUGACGGAGCAACGCCGCGUGAGUGAUGAAGGUCUUCGGAUCGUAAAACUCUGUUAUUAGGGAAGAACAAAUGUGUAAGUAACUAUGCACGUCUUGACGGUACCUAAUCAGAAAGCCACGGCUAACUACGUGCCAGCAGCCGCGGUAAUACGUAGGUGGCAAGCGUUAUCCGGAAUGAUUGGGCGUAAAGCGCGCGUAGGCGGUUUUUUAAGUCUGAUGUGAAAGCCCACGGCUCAACCGUGGAGAGUCAUUGGAAUAUGGAAAACGUGAGUGCAGAAGAGGAAAGUGGGAUUCCAUGGUUAACGGUGAAAUGCGCAGAGAUAUGGAGGAACACCAGUGGCGAAGGCGACUUUCUGGUCUGUAACUGACGCUGAUGUGCGAAAGCGGGGGGAUCAAACAGG